GACAGCUGAAUGAUAGUCGGGCUGAAGACUCUACUUGACUAGCUGAGAGGAGGUGCAUGGCCGUCGUCAGUUCGUACUGUGAAGCAUCCUGUUAAGUCAGGCAACGAGCGAGACCCACGCCAACAGUUGCUAGCUCGUCCUCCGGGAUGGAGAGGACACUGUUGGGACCGCUCUGCUAAAGAGGAGGAAGGGAAUGGGCAACGGUAGGUCAGCAUGCCCCGAAUUAUCUGGGCUACACGCGGGCUACAAUGGGUGGGACAAUGGGUAUCGACACCGAAAGGUGAAGGCAAUCUCCUAAACCCAUCCUUAGUUCGGAUUGUGGGCUGCAACUCGCCCACAUGAAGCUGGAAUCUGUAGUAAUCGUGUCUCAAAAUGGCACGGUGAAUAUGUCCCUGCUCCUU
This 401-nucleotide ribosomal RNA is filed under the name uncultured Methanomicrobiales archaeon. Its description in RNAcentral is "bacterial SSU rRNA". It matches the Rfam family "Archaeal small subunit ribosomal RNA", at positions 938 to 1338 of the family's 1478-position model. Lineage: Archaea; Methanobacteriati; Methanobacteriota; Methanomicrobia; Methanomicrobiales. The record is from RNAcentral.